RNAcentral lists this ribosomal RNA (260 nucleotides) under uncultured bacterium. Its description in RNAcentral is "partial 16S ribosomal RNA". It matches the Rfam family "Bacterial small subunit ribosomal RNA", at positions 524 to 777 of the family's 1533-position model. The record is from RNAcentral.
UACGUAGGGUGCGGAGCGUUGUCCGGAAUUACUGGGCGUAAAGAGCUCGUAGGUGGUUUGUCGCGUUGGUCCGUGAAAUUCCCUGGCUUAAACUGGGGGCGGUGCGGGCGAUACGGGCAGACUGGAGUACUGCAGGGGAGUACUGGAAUUCCUGGUGUAGCGGUGGAAUGCGCAGAUAUCAGGAGGAACACCGGUGGCGAAGGCGGGUCUCUGGACAGUUCCUGACGCUCAUGCACGAAAGGCCGGGGGAGCAAACGGGG